UGAGAUCUUUUCUUUUUCUUUGAUUGCAGGCAAUGCAGAGCUGUACUGCAAAGUUAGUGUACCUUUUGUAAUGGGAACCACAUGUGGGGACAGGGAAAGAUCGUAUAAGACUGGAAGACUCAAAUGUUUAUGCUAUAAUCUCUCCAUAGAUGGGAAAAGAGGUUGUAUUUCUUGCUGCUAUGGAGAUUUUGGCUGAACAAUUUCCUGGAGCCUUUUCAGAUUAUUCUUUACAAAAGAGAAUGGACGUAGGAAUGCUCUACUCAAUUUUUCAAGGAUGAUUUAACACUCAAUUCAACAUGUCUCAUUCUAUGCAUCUCAAGUGUCAAAUAUCCAAGUUGGCCAAAGUCAGCCCUUACAAAGUUCAACCAUCAUGUUAAAUGGAUUUUCAUUGGAAGGCAUGUUACAUAAUCCUGGAAAUUGGAUUUUUUUUUUUAAUUUGUUGUACUUUUAUACAUCAAUUGGAUAUUGUAUUUAAACAAUUUGCUUUGAA
Molecule: non-coding RNA, 490 nt
Organism: Nelumbo nucifera (sacred lotus)
Lineage: Eukaryota; Viridiplantae; Streptophyta; Magnoliopsida; Proteales; Nelumbonaceae
Source: RefSeq, a predicted model, not a curated record